Molecule: ribosomal RNA, 229 nt
Filed under: uncultured bacterium
Lineage: Bacteria
Description: partial 16S ribosomal RNA
Rfam family: Bacterial small subunit ribosomal RNA
Source: RNAcentral
UGCGUAGGCGGAUAGAUUAGUCAGAGGUGAAAUCCUGCAGCUUAACUAUAGAAUUGCCUUUGAUACUGUUUAUCUUGAAUUAGGUUGAGGUCAGCGGAAUGUGGCAUGUAGCGGUGAAAUGCAUAGAUAUGCCAUAGAACACCAAUUGCGAAGGCAGCUGGCUAGGCUUUAAUUGACGCUGAGGCACGAAAGCGUGGGGAGCGAACAGGAUUAGAUACCCUGGUAGUCC